RNAcentral lists this ribosomal RNA (497 nucleotides) under uncultured bacterium. RNAcentral describes it as "partial 16S ribosomal RNA". It matches the Rfam family "Bacterial small subunit ribosomal RNA", at positions 28 to 507 of the family's 1533-position model. The record is from RNAcentral.
GAUGAACGCUGGCGGCGUGCCUAAUACAUGCAAGUCGAGCGAACGGACGAGAAGCUUGCUUCUCUGAUGUUAGCGGCGGACGGGUGAGUAACACGUGGAUAACCUACCUAUAAGACUGGGAUAACUUCGGGAAACCGGAGCUAAUACCGGAUAAUAUUUUGAACCGCAUGGUUCAAAAGUGAAAGACGGUCUUGCUGUCACUUAUAGAUGGAUCCGCGCUGCAUUAGCUAGUUGGUAAGGUAACCGCUUACCAAGGCAACGAUGCAUAGCCGACCUGAGAGGGUGAUCGGCCACACUGGAACUGAGACACGGUCCAGACUCCUACGGGAGGCAGCAGUAGGGAAUCUUACGCAAUGGGCGAAAGCCUGACGGAGCAACGCCGCGUGAGUGAUGAAGGUCUUCGGAUCGUAAAACUCUGUUAUUAGGGAAGAACAUAUGUGUAAGUAACUGUGCACAUCUUGACGGUACCUAAUCAGAAAGCCACGGCUAACUACGUG